RNAcentral lists this unclassified non-coding RNA (307 nucleotides) under plant metagenome. RNAcentral describes it as "partial contains 5.8S ribosomal RNA, internal transcribed spacer 2, and large subunit ribosomal RNA". The stretch from base 1 to 105 matches the Rfam family "5.8S ribosomal RNA", at positions 50 to 154 of the family's 154-position model. The record is from RNAcentral.
GAAAUGCGAUAAGUAAUGUGAAUUGCAGAAUUCAGUGAAUCAUCGAAUCUUUGAACGCACAUUGCGCCCGCCAGCACUCUGGCGGGCAUGCCUGUUCGAGCGUCAUUUCAACCCUCAGAACCCCUUGCGGGAUCUGGCGUUGGGGAUUGGCAUCCAGCCAGCCCCGAAAUCUAGUGGCGGUCCCUCCGCGACCUCCCCUUUGCAGUAGCGAUACCUCGCAGCGGGACAGCGGUCUGACCACGCCGUAAAACCCCCAACUUCUCAAGGUUGACCUCGAAUCAGGUAGGAAUACCCGCUGAACUUAAGC